CGGACGGGUGAGUAACGCGUGAGAACCUACCUUCAGAAUGGGGACAACAGUUGGAAACGACUGCUAAUACCCAAUGUGCCGAAAGUUGAAAGAUUUAUCGUCUGAAGAUGGGCUCGCGUCUGAUUAGCUAGAUGGUGGGGUAAGAGCCUACCAUGGCAACGAUCAGUAGCUGGUCUGAGAGGAUGAGCAGCCACACUGGGACUGAGACACGGCCCAGACUCCUACGGGAGGCAGCAGUGGGGAAUUUUCCGCAAUGGGCGAAAGCCUGACGGAGCAAUACCGCGUGAGGGAGGAAGGUCCUUGGAUUGUAAACCUCUUUUAUCAGGGAAGAAGUUCUGACGGUACCUGAUGAAUAAGCAUCGGCUAACUCCGUGCCAGCAGCCGCGGUAAUACGGAGGAUGCAAGCGUUAUCCGGAAUUAUUGGGCGUAAAGCGUCCGUAGGUGGUUAUGCAAGUCUGCCGUUAAAGAAUGGAGCUUAACUCCAUAGGAGCGGUGGAAACUGCAAGACUAGAGUACAGUAGGGGUAGCAGGAAUUCCCAGUGUAGCGGUGAAAUGCGUAGAUAUUGGGAAGAACAUCGGUGGCGAAAGCGUGCUACUGGGCUGAAACUGACACUGAGGGACGAAAGCUAGGGUAGCGAAAGGGAUUAGAUACCCCUGUAGUC
Molecule: ribosomal RNA, 662 nt
Filed under: Synechocystis sp. PCC 6803
Lineage: Bacteria; Bacillati; Cyanobacteriota; Cyanophyceae; Synechococcales; Merismopediaceae
Description: bacterial SSU rRNA
Rfam family: Bacterial small subunit ribosomal RNA
Source: RNAcentral